Long non-coding RNA from Camponotus floridanus (Florida carpenter ant), 950 nucleotides. RefSeq lists it as uncharacterized. The record is from RefSeq and is a predicted model, not a curated record. The transcript has 4 exons. Lineage: Eukaryota; Metazoa; Arthropoda; Insecta; Hymenoptera; Formicidae.
AAUAUAGAGUCGGAUUAUAAUCGACGUAGAUUUAAAAAAAGAAGAAUACAGAAUUUUUUAAUACAUUCUCAUAAUAAAAAGAACAUGUUCCACACAAGCAGUUGCGACUAUCGUUUUGGCGAAUUGAAGUGAUUUCUGCCGAGAAAAUAUUAUUUCCUAUUCUCGUGAAUGUUCACGCGGUCCGGAUUAAAGGUUCUUCCACAACGCUUACACGGCACCAGCUGGCUCAGAUGCGUCAUCCAAUUGGCCUCCGCCGUUGCCGCCUGAUCAACCACCACAUUUCCCGUGCAGGAAUCCUCUGCGAACAGUGAAGUCGUCAUUGCCAAUUGUAUCGAACCUUGAAAAGUGCAGGAAAAAUCUUAAAAAGAAGAUACUCGAAGAUAAAUCGACGAAUAAUGCUAACUGAUCUGUUUGAUUGCGAUAAAUCGAAUUUCGCAACAAAUUAACGUCAAGAUUAAAAGAUUGUACAAUAGCAAGAGACUGACUACGGAAACUCAAGUGCGCACAUGCUUUUUUCUUCUGUAAGGACUCACCGGAUACAUCGACGGUGAAUUUUCCUGCUUUCUGGUCGAUUUUUGUCUAUAGAGAGUCAACUGAUCUUUCUGCUCGCUCGCCGAAUCGUUUUGCAUCUGCCAUCGUCUACUACACUGAGGCUCAUGAAUCUUGAUGCUUCUGGUGCCAAAAUUUCGCCCACAAACCCGACAAGGAACAGUUGGUGGCACAACACUACGUCUAUUCGCUGUGGCUACUCGUUCGUUCUAAAAAAAACGAGGAUAUCAAAGUGUAACAAUUGAAGCUAUUUACCUCCAUACACUUGGGCUCGUGAAUGGGGAAACUGGCGGUGCCGAAUUCCCGGCCGCAAAUGUAGCACGUGACCGUCUUGGGACCCCGUUUCAUCGCGGACGACGACCUAGCCUGCUGGCCUGAGUCCUGGGAAGGACGAUCCUGAG